AUGUAGAACACGGACCAGACUCUCUACGGAGGCAGCAGUGAGGAAUAUUGGUCAUGGCGAGAGCUGAUCAGGCCAUCCCGCGUGCAGAUGACCGACCCUAUGGUUGUAAACUGCUUUUCUGCUCCAAGAAACCCAUUCUUACGUGUAGGUGGUUGACGGUAGAGUAGGAAUAAGCAUCGGCUAACUCCGUGCCAGCAGCCGCGGUAAUACGGAGGAUGCAAGCGUUAUCCGGAUUCAUUGGGUUUAAAGGGUGCGCAGGUUGGAAUGUAAGUCAGUGGUGAAAUACUGCCGCUUAACGGUAGAACUGCCAUUGAUACUGCGUUUCUUGAGUAUGGUUGAGGUAGGUGGAAUGUGUUGUGUAGCGGUGAAAUGCAUAGAUAUGACACAGAACGCCGAUUGCGAAGGCAGCUUACUAAGCCAUUACUGACGCUGAGGCACGAAAGCGUGGGGAUCGAACAGGAUUAGAUACCCUGGUAGUCCACGCCGUAAACGAUGAUCACUCGCUGUUUGCGAUAUACAGCAAGCGGCUGAGCGAAAGCAUUAAGUGAUCCACCUGGGGAGUACGAUCGCAAGGUUGAAACUCAAAGGAAUUGACGGGGGCCCGCACAAGCGGAGGAACAUGUGGUUUAAUUCGAUGAUACGCGAGGAACCUUACCUGGGCUUAAAUGUAGAUUGCAUGGAUUGGAAACAGUCCUUCCCUUCGGGGCUAUUUACAAGGUGCUGCAUGGUUGUCGUCAGCUCGUGCCGUGAGGUGUCGGGUUAAGUCCCAUAACGAGCGCAACCCUUAUCGUUAGUUGCCAGCGGGUAGAGCCGGGGACUCUAGCGAGACUGCCACCGUAAGGUGAGAGGAAGGUGGGGAUGACGUCAAAUCAGCACGGCCCUUAUGUCCAGGGCUACACACGUGUUACAAUGGCCGAUACAAAGGGCAGCUACUUCGCGAGAAGAUGCUAAUCUCUAAAGUCGGUCCCAGUUCGGAUUGGAGUCUGCAACCCGACUCCAUGAAGUUGGAUUCGCUAGUAAUCGCGCAUCAGCCAUGGCGCGGUGAAUACGUUCCCGGGCCUUGUACACACCGCCCGUCAAACCAUGGGAGCUGGGGGUGCCUGAAGUCUGCCACCGAGAGGAGCGGCCUAGGGUAAAACCAGUGACUGGGGUUAAGUCGUAACAAGGUAACCA
RNAcentral lists this ribosomal RNA (1173 nucleotides) under uncultured bacterium. RNAcentral's name for it is "bacterial SSU rRNA". It matches the Rfam family "Bacterial small subunit ribosomal RNA", at positions 318 to 1502 of the family's 1533-position model. The record is from RNAcentral.